This 448-nucleotide ribosomal RNA is filed under the name uncultured soil bacterium. RNAcentral's name for it is "bacterial SSU rRNA". It matches the Rfam family "Bacterial small subunit ribosomal RNA", at positions 26 to 518 of the family's 1533-position model. The record is from RNAcentral.
AGGAUAAACGCUGGCGGCGUGCCUAACGCAUGCAAGUCGAACGAUGCCUUCGGGCAUAGUGGCGGACGGGUGAGUAACACGUAGGAACCUGCCCGGAAGUGGGGGACAACUCCGCGAAAGCGGGGCUAAUACCGCAUACGGUCUACGGACCAAAGCCUUCGGGCGCUUUCGGAGGGGCCUGCGGCGGAUUAGCUAGUUGGUGGGGUAACGGCCUACCAAGGCGACGAUCCGUAGCUGGUCUGAGAGGAUGAUCAGCCACACUGGGACUGAGACACGGCCCAGACUCCUACGGGAGGCAGCAGCGAGGAAUUUUCCGCAAUGGGCGAAAGCCUGACGGAGCAACGCCGCGUGGGGAAGAAGGCCUUCGGGUGUAAACCCUGUUGUGAGGGAAGAAGAUCUGACGGUACCUCGCGAGGAAGCCACGGCUAACUACGUGCCAGCAAGCCGC